Long non-coding RNA from Macadamia integrifolia, 800 nucleotides. RefSeq lists it as uncharacterized. The record is from RefSeq and is a predicted model, not a curated record. Lineage: Eukaryota; Viridiplantae; Streptophyta; Magnoliopsida; Proteales; Proteaceae. The transcript is spliced from 2 exons.
CCAUAACAGGAUUGCAGGUUAGUUCCAACCUUUGUUGCCCUUUGGUAGAGUGAGUCUGUCUUACCGAACUGGCAGGACGCGGAGAUCGAUUGAUCAACAUGAAUCUCAAGAGUGGAUAGUUGACAGCCGCUUUUGUUCCUUUAAUUUCCUGUGGGAAUCUUAAUCAUGCUCUAGAUAGAUCCUCUGUUAUUUAAGUUUCAAUCUUGCUACUGUUACUAUCUCACAUGGUACUGGAGUUUCUUCUACCUCAGAUGUGAAAUGACAUCAAUCAAGUGGUGCAGCAGUCAUCUUUAUGGAGAUUAAGCUCAAUUAAUGAUAGCAUUAGAACAGGAGGAACUGAAAAGGACACAGGAUGCAGAGAGAGAGCAUGAGAGCAGCAGCAGCCAUUUCAGUGCCCAAGGGACAAAGACAACUUUGGCACCUUGCAGUUUGGAGCCUGAAGGUAGGGUAGGAAAUGAUAUUAUUUGUUCUUCUUGUAAUGCAUUCUUCGCUAGUAAAGCUCCCUCAAAACCUAAUUGUACAGUCCUCUACUUCUGGAGUCACAAAUUUGGCAAUAAAGAUCGGGGCUCUCUUCACCAGGUUUUUGUUGAAUCCCCAACCUCUUCCUCUGAUCUUGUUUAGUAAAAAGCACUAAACACCCUGUGUAAGUGGACCCAAGAAGGUAAGAGUUGAACUCCGAACCACACGCUUCCUGGGGCGAAGGUCUCUUACCAACUCCUCUACCCUCUUUAGGGUUGACCUCUUCCUGUGAUCUGUUAUCUUCUUAAUAUAUAAGAUGAUCCAUCAGGUGGUUGUCUUUU